CUCCGAGGAGUCAGUAUGAUCAAGAAACAUCUUUCAGGCAAGUGUGUGCUUGCAGACGCAAUCCUGCACCUGAUCUGAGAUGCAAGUAAUUUUUGCAUGUCCACGUACAUAGCUCAAAACAUUGGAGAAGCGGACACUGUCAGGAGGAUUGGUGGGGUUCAAACAUUUCAACAAGUUGUCAAUGCUUUGCCAAGCUUGUCCUGUGAAUCCUGCUUUGUGCAGUACAGCGUUGCCUAUCAGAAUGAUGGCGACUCUAUAGUACGGUAUGCAUAAGAAGUGACUCAUUGAUCAAUUGGACGAUGAGUAAAGUUAAGCUCAAACCCGCUGCCUUGGCCAACCUGUGGAACAGAAUUCUGCAUGAGGAAGAUAUUGGGGACCCUGCUUAGACUAGUAGUAUGCCAGCUGCACGCUCUCCUGUACACAAAUGUGGCACAAAUAAGCUCCACAGGGCCUGGCCAAUAGACUGGCAUGUGGCUGUUGGCGCUGAGCUCACAAGAUUAUUACCAGUUCUUGACACUGUCAGCCUGUACUCAUGAAGCUUCAAGCUUAGAGACUGAACGGCAUGAAUGGCAUGC
This 575-nucleotide long non-coding RNA is filed under the name Coccomyxa subellipsoidea. RNAcentral's name for it is "long non-coding RNA (CSUB_LNC000612)". The record is from RNAcentral. Lineage: Eukaryota; Viridiplantae; Chlorophyta; Trebouxiophyceae; Coccomyxaceae.